Molecule: ribosomal RNA, 254 nt
Filed under: uncultured bacterium
Lineage: Bacteria
Description: partial 16S ribosomal RNA
Rfam family: Bacterial small subunit ribosomal RNA
Source: RNAcentral
UACGAAGGGGGCUAGCGUUGUUCGGAUUUACUGGGCGUAAAGCGCACGUAGGCGGAUUGGUCAGUUAGAGGUGAAAUCCCGAAGCUCAACUUCGGAACUGCCUUUAAUACUGCCAGUCUAGAGUCCGGAAGAGGUAAGUGGAACUCCUAGUGUAGAGGUGGAAUUCGUAGAUAUUAGGAAGAACACCAGUGGCGAAGGCGGCUUACUGGUCCGGAUACUGACGCUGAGGUGCGAAAGCGUGGGGAGCAAACAGG